CCCGUUAGACAGCCUGGCUUGCUGGAGAUAUCGCAGUGUAAGGCAGGGAGCUGUGCAGCCUUAAAACUGCCUGGUCAGAAGGGAGUGCCCAGAAACAGGCAAAGGCUAGAGACCUGAAGCCUAACUGGGCACUCCUGCAGUGGACCUCAGAGGUAGGGGUGGGGGAGAGUUACCCUGAAACUGUGACAGAAGAUUGUGUAGCUGCUCUCACCACCCCACCUAUGAAACAGCAUUCGUUUUCUCACACUUUCCUGCAACACAGACUGAUAUGGAAGAUUUUGAACUGUAGACACAAUCUCAAAUGCAGGUCCAGAUUACUUGCAUCCAAGAAUUUUAAAAGAGCUGACUGGGGAGCCUGCUGGACCAUUAAUGUUGAUUUUCAGUAAGUCUUGGAACACUGGGUCACAACUGGGCUUUUGGCAUUUUCUUUUACAACUCCAGUGUGCAGAGCAGAUACAGAGGAAAAUGCCCUUCUCUCCUGCUUACAUCCCUGAGUGCUCUUCCCAUUAUUAGCAUUCCACGAUAUGGCAGCACUAUUUGUUGAUUCUGCAGUUUGACAGUGGCAGUCUGGACCUGUCCUGCAUCACCUCCUACAGCCAAGCGAUACUGAAAUCAACUCCAUUCUGUUUUGCCAAAGGACAGUCCUACAGUGAGAGAAGGUGGAGACCUCCUGAGGAUUUAGCAGCUCUCACAGCCCCCAUCCAUCCAAGGGACCAAAGACAGUCAGACUGGAACGAAUGCCCACAAAACAAGCAGCAUGGAUCAGUAUUUCUAAGCCAUGAAGCCUACCUAAUUUCUUUUUGAAAAUAUCUUAAGCAAGAAUCAUUUUAUGAGAGUCAGAAACAGACAAGUGCGUGUUUUGUAGCCUAUGAAUUUUACCAUGUAAAUCAUAUAAGCACAAAAACGCCACUAUUAUAUCCUGUGCAUUUCACUGAAUAAUUGAGUUUAAGCAAAACUAUAUUAAGAUUAAGCCAGCUCAACCCAACACCUCAGCUCCUGGGGGAAAAAAUAAUCAUGAGAUUCUCAGCAAGUUGUUUGGAACAAAGGUUAAAAAUAAUUUUCAUUGAUGUUCUGUUACC
Molecule: long non-coding RNA, 1079 nt
Organism: Chelonia mydas (Green sea turtle)
Lineage: Eukaryota; Metazoa; Chordata; Testudines; Cheloniidae
Exons: 4
Source: RefSeq, a predicted model, not a curated record